AUUGAACGCUGGCGGCAUGCUUUACACAUGCAAGUCGAACGGUAACAGGCCGCAAGGUGCUGACGAGUGGCGAACGGGUGAGUAAUGCAUCGGAACGUGCCCAGUCGUGGGGGAUAACUACUCGAAAGAGUAGCUAAUACCGCAUACGAUCUAUGGAUGAAAGCGGGGGACCGUAAGGCCUCGCGCGAUUGGAGCGGCCGAUGUCAGAGUAGGUAGUUGGUGGGGUAAAGGCUCACCAAGCCAACGAUCUGUAGCUGGUCUGAGAGGACGACCAGCCACACUGGGACUGAGACACGGCCCAGACUCCUACGGGAGGCAGCAGUGGGGAAUUUUGGACAAUGGGCGCAAGCCUGAUCCAGCAAUGCCGCGUGCAGGAAGAAGGCCUUCGGGUUGUAAACUGCUUUUGUACGGAACGAAACGGCUCUGGUUAAUACCCGGGGCUAAUGACGGUACCGUAAGAAUAAGCACCGGCUAACUACGCG
RNAcentral lists this ribosomal RNA (482 nucleotides) under uncultured bacterium. Its description in RNAcentral is "partial 16S ribosomal RNA". It matches the Rfam family "Bacterial small subunit ribosomal RNA", at positions 30 to 507 of the family's 1533-position model. The record is from RNAcentral.